UGGAGAAAGAAGCGAGGCGACAGAUUAGGGAUUUUUCUUGAAAAGGUGGUUUCCCCUCUCUGUUGUGCCGAUGAUUUUUCCACUUUCAAUCCUGAAUUGGAACAAGAAAACAGCCUUUUCACAGACCAAAGAAACCUGUACAGUACUUCGUAGUGUUUUCCUUGGAUCUCUUUCUGGUCUGCAGUUUCUACGUACGUUUAUAUGCAGAGCUAUCAGCUAUGGUUUAUGGUUUAGGGUUUAUGGUUUAAUUAAUUUGCGUAUUUCUUGAGGCUGUGAUGAUGUCUUCACUCUUCACCUUCUUUUCCGACUUUCUGGGCUUUCGGGCAUUGAGAAGACCUAGCCGUAUCUUGGCGGGGCGACCCGGAAACUCCGGUUCUUUGCAGCCAUGGCGGCUCUGGCUUCUCUCUUGCCCCAAUAAUGCAUUAUACAUACAGAUCUGAGCCUCAAAGACGCCCUGAGGGCUUCGAACCGGCGACCUUUAUAUGAAUCUGGCGUUUCUGGUGUUAUUGGGAUUGUAUUCAAUCAAGACUUUUAGAGAGAGAGGGAGAAUUGAUUUUCUUGAAGGGUUUAUUGUCCCACUCUGUUUACUCCAUUAACAGCCCUUUCAUUUCGUUUCCGGGAUCUUGAAAUGGAACUAUGGAAGUAUAUUUUUAAAGAGGCUAUGAUGAUAUCUUCCUUGAAAAUCGGGCAUUGAGAUGACCGGCCCGUAUCUUGGCAUGGCAAUACUCCAGUUCUUUGCAGCCAUGGCGGUCUGGCUUCUCUUUUGCCCACUCUCCUCUUAAAACUAGAUCUGAGCCUCAGAGUUGCGAAGGUGUCAAACCCUUUAACUUGUUUUGUGAAGAGAUAUAAAAUUUUUAUCAGAUCCUUUCUGGGUUUGUUUAAAUUUUAUCUACAUUACAAGGCUUUCAUGACAAAAUUAAGAAUUUCCAAAGGUGUUGCCUUUUCUUUUAUGCAAAUCUUGCAAAAUAUGGUCUUAAAAAAUGUAUUCUUGCAUUCAGUCAACAAGUUAUCAUUACAGAAGUAGAAAACCCUCCUCAAUGAGAGGCAACCUUGAAGGGGUGGUGACACAGAAAGGACUUGGUUCUUUGCAGCUAUGGUGGUGCUGACUUCUCUCUCUUGCCCCACAAACAUGGAUCUGAGUGUCAAAGAUGCUUAGGGGAUUUGGACUGGUGACAUUUUUUUUUUCCUCGAAAAUUACCUUUCUGGUUUUCUUUAAAUUUCAGCUCUAAGGUUGCAUGAUCCCCACACUCGGUUUAGCUAAGGUUUUCUCUAGUUUCAUUCAAUCAACAUCCCAUAGCCCUUUGUUAAUCUUAGUUCAUGGAUCCUCAUUUUGUUUGUCUAAUGCAUGCCAUUUUGCAUCAGCAAAAUACUGAAAUGCAGGAUGUAAGCAGCAAAAUUGAUAUUAGAAAUUUGUUGUUUGGUUUUGAUUGGUUGUUUAUAACUAAAGGUAGGCUUGUGCA
Molecule: long non-coding RNA, 1460 nt
Organism: Ipomoea triloba (trilobed morning glory)
Lineage: Eukaryota; Viridiplantae; Streptophyta; Magnoliopsida; Solanales; Convolvulaceae
Exons: 2
Source: RefSeq, a predicted model, not a curated record